Paramuricea clavata is the source of this 220-nucleotide non-coding RNA. NCBI's taxonomy places the organism in Eukaryota, Metazoa, Cnidaria, Anthozoa, Malacalcyonacea, Plexauridae. The record is from the annotation of a GenBank genome assembly.
CUGAGAAAGUGAAUUUGGAAAACAAGUGUAUUUUCGGAAAAAUUAUUAUAUGUCCUGAAAAUUUUUUGUACAUCUGGAAACUUUUUGGUAACCCCCCCCCCCCCCUCUAUCUAACCACACACACACCCUGCGACGAAGUGCUCGCAACGGCACUGAGUAUAUAUCUUUUGAAAACAGGCGAGGGGUUAUUGCAUGCAUGUAUUUCUAGUUUAAGCAGUAA